GUCGGGAGUUAGGAAAUGUAAGUGUGCUAAUAACGCAUUUACUUGACGAAGGCUCCAAAGGAAGCCACGGCUAACUCUGUGCCAGCAGCCGCGGUAAUACAGAGGUGGCAAGCGUUGUUCGGAAUUAUUGGGCGUAAAGAGCACGUAGGUGGGUUUGUAAGUCAGAUGUGAAAGCCUUCUGUUCAACGGAAGAAUUGCAUCUGAAACUGCGAGUCUUGAGUGUAGGAGGGGAGAGUGGAACUUCUGGU
This 248-nucleotide ribosomal RNA is filed under the name uncultured Planctomycetales bacterium. RNAcentral describes it as "partial 16S ribosomal RNA". It matches the Rfam family "Bacterial small subunit ribosomal RNA", at positions 434 to 674 of the family's 1533-position model. The record is from RNAcentral. Lineage: Bacteria; Pseudomonadati; Planctomycetota; Planctomycetia; Planctomycetales.